ACGUUAUUCGGAAUCACUGGGCUUAAAGCGCGUGUAGGCGGGGCGGUGCGUCGGCCGUUGAAAUCCCCCGGCUCAACCGGGGAAGGGGCGCCGAAACGACCGUCCUGGAGCGACGUAGGGGGAACUGGAACUUCCGGUGGAGCGGUGAAAUGCGUUGAGAUCGGAAGGAACGCCCGUGGCGAAAGCGAGUUCCUGGACGUCGGCUGACGCUGAGACGCGAAAGCCA
This 226-nucleotide ribosomal RNA is filed under the name uncultured bacterium. RNAcentral describes it as "partial 16S ribosomal RNA". It matches the Rfam family "Bacterial small subunit ribosomal RNA", at positions 538 to 762 of the family's 1533-position model. The record is from RNAcentral.